CACACUAUCGUUAACUGAAUACAUAGGUUAACGAGGCGAACCGGGGGAACUGAAACAUCUAAGUACCCCGAGGAAAAGAAAUCAACCGAGAUUCCCCCAGUAGCGGCGAGCGAACGGGGAGCAGCCCAGAGUCUGAAUCAGCUUGUGUGUUAGUGGAAGCGUCUGGAAAGUCGCACGGUACAGGGUGACAGUCCCGUACACGAAAGCACACAGGCUGUGAACUCGAAGAGUAGGGCGGGACACGUGGUAUCCUGUCUGAAUAUGGGGGGACCAUCCUCCAAGGCUAAAUACUCCUGACUGACCGAUAGUGAACCAGUACCGUGAGGGAAAGGCGAAAAGAACCCCGGCGAGGGGAGUGAAAAAGAACCUGAAACCGUGUACGUACAAGCAGUGGGAGCCUCUUUUAUGGGGUGACUGCGUACCUUUUGUAUAAUGGGUCAGCGACUUAUAUUCUGUAGCAAGGUUAACCGUAUAGGGGAGCCGAAGGGAAACCGAGUCUUAACUGGGCGUUAAGUUGCAGGGUAUAGACCCGAAACCCGGUGAUCUAGCCAUGGGCAGGUUGAAGGUUGGGUAACACUAACUGGAGGACCGAACCGACUAAUGUUGAAAAAUUAGCGGAUGACUUGUGGCUGGGGGUGAAAGGCCAAUCAAACCGGGAGAUAGCUGGUUCUCCCCGAAAGCUAUUUAGGUAGCGCCUCGUGAACUCAUCUUCGGGGGUAGAGCACUGUUUCGGCUAGGGGGCCAUCCCGGCUUACCAACCCGAUGCAAACUACGAAUACCGAAGAAUGUUAUCACGGGAGACACACGGCGGGUGCUAACGUCCGUCGUGAAGAGGGAAACAACCCAGACCGCCAGCUAAGGUCCCAAAGUCAUGGUUAAGUGGGAAACGAUGUGGGAAGGCACAGACAGCCAGGAUGUUGGCUUAGAAGCAGCCAUCAUUUAAAGAAAGCGUAAUAGCUCACUGGUCGAGUCGGCCUGCGCGGAAGAUGUAACGGGGCUAAACCAUGCACCGAAGCUGCGGCAGCGACACUAUGUGUUGUUGGGUAGGGGAGCGUUCUGUAAGCCGUUGAAGGUGUCCUGUGAGGGGUGCUGGAGGUAUCAGAAGUGCGAAUGCUGACAUAAGUAACGAUAAAGCGGGUGAAAAGCCCGCUCGCCGGAAGACCAAGGGUUCCUGUCCAACGUUAAUCGGGGCAGGGUGAGUCGACCCCUAAGGCGAGGCCGAAAGGCGUAGUCGAUGGGAAACAGGUUAAUAUUCCUGUACUUGGUGUUACUGCGAAGGGGGGACGGAGAAGGCUAUGUUAGCCGGGCGACGGUUGUCCCGGUUUAAGCAUGUAGGCGGAGGUUCCAGGUAAAUCCGGUUCCUUGUUAACGCUGAGGUGUGAUGACGAGGCACUACGGUGCUGAAGUAACAAAUGCCCUGCUUCCAGGAAAAGCCUCUAAGCAUCAGGUAACAUCAAAUCGUACCCCAAACCGACACAGGUGGUCAGGUAGAGAAUACCAAGGCGCUUGAGAGAACUCGGGUGAAGGAACUAGGCAAAAUGGUGCCGUAACUUCGGGAGAAGGCACGCUGAUAUGUAGGUGAAGCCCCUGCGGGUGGAGCUGAAAUCAGUCGAAGAUACCAGCUGGCUGCAACUGUUUAUUAAAAACACAGCACUGUGCAAACACGAAAGUGGACGUAUACGGUGUGACGCCUGCCCGGUGCCGGAAGGUUAAUUGAUGGGGUUAGCGGUAACGCGAAGCUCUUGAUCGAAGCCCCGGUAAACGGCGGCCGUAACUAUAACGGUCCUAAGGUAGCGAAAUUCCUUGUCGGGUAAGUUCCGACCUGCACGAAUGGCGUAAUGAUGGCCAGGCUGUCUCCACCCGAGACUCAGUGAAAUUGAACUCGCUGUGAAGAUGCAGUGUACCCGCGGCAAGACGGAAAGACCCCGUGAACCUUUACUAUAGCUUGACACUGAACACUGGUCCUUGAUGUGUAGGAUAGGUGGGAGGCUUUGAAGCGUGGACGCCAGUCUGCGUGGAGCCAACCUUGAAAUACCACCCUUUAAUGGCUGGUGUUCUAACGUAGACCCGUGAUCCGGGUUGCGGACAGUGUCUGGUGGGUAGUUUGACUGGGGCGGUCUCCUCCCAAAGAGUAACGGAGGAGCACGAAGGUUAGCUAAUCCUGGUCGGACAUCAGGAGGUUAGUGCAAUGGCAUAAGCUAGCUUGACUGCGAGAGUGACGGCUCGAGCAGGUGCGAAAGCAGGUCAUAGUGAUCCGGUGGUUCUGAAUGGAAGGGCCAUCGCUCAACGGAUAAAAGGUACUCCGGGGAUAACAGGCUGAUACCGCCCAAGAGUUCAUAUCGACGGCGGUGUUUGGCACCUCGAUGUCGGCUCAUCACAUCCUGGGGCUGAAGUAGGUCCCAAGGGUAUGGCUGUUCGCCAUUUAAAGUGGUACGCGAGCUGGGUUUAGAACGUCGUGAGACAGUUCGGUCCCUAUCUGCCGUGGGCGCUGGAGAAUUGAGGGGGGCUGCUCCUAGUACGAGAGGACCGGAGUGGACGCAUCACUGGUGUUCGGGUUGUCAUGCCAAUGGCACUGCCCGGUAGCUAAAUGCGGAAGAGAUAAGUGCUGAAAGCAUCUAAGCACGAAACUUGCCCCGAGAUGAGUUCUCCCUGAGACUUUAAGUCUCCUGAAGGAACGUUGAAGACUACGACGUUGAUAGGUCGGGUGUGUAAGCGCAGCGAUGCGUUGAGCUAACCGAUACUAAUGAACCGUGAGGCUUAACCUU
Molecule: ribosomal RNA, 2765 nt
Filed under: Enterobacter ludwigii
Lineage: Bacteria; Pseudomonadati; Pseudomonadota; Gammaproteobacteria; Enterobacterales; Enterobacteriaceae
Description: partial 23S ribosomal RNA
Rfam family: Bacterial large subunit ribosomal RNA
Source: RNAcentral